RNAcentral lists this small RNA (132 nucleotides) under Escherichia coli. RNAcentral's name for it is "RtT sRNA". It matches the Rfam family "RtT RNA". From Rfam's summary of the family: This family represents a bacterial cis-regulatory element known as RtT RNA. The exact function of RtT is unknown although it is thought that it may be involved in changing the cellular response in relation to amino acid starvation. Lineage: Bacteria; Pseudomonadati; Pseudomonadota; Gammaproteobacteria; Enterobacterales; Enterobacteriaceae. The record is from RNAcentral.
GCAUCACCCAUGCGGGGAAGGAUGAGAAGCUUCGACCAAGGUUCGACUCGAGCGCCAGCGAGAGAGCGUGGCCGCAGGCAACGACCCGAAGGGCGAAGCGCGCAGCGCUGAGUAAUCCUUCCCCCACCACCA